This 465-nucleotide ribosomal RNA is filed under the name uncultured bacterium. RNAcentral describes it as "partial 16S ribosomal RNA". It matches the Rfam family "Bacterial small subunit ribosomal RNA", at positions 28 to 507 of the family's 1533-position model. The record is from RNAcentral.
GACGAACGCUGGCGGCGUGCUUAACACAUGCAAGUCGAACGGAAAGGCCCCUUUGGGGGUACUCGAGUGGCGAACGGGUGCGUAACACGUGAGUAACCUGCCCUUGACUUCGGGAUAACUUCAGGAAACUGGGGCUAAUACCGGAUAGGAAUCCUUGCUGCAUGGUGGGGGUUGGAAAGCUUCGGCGGUUUUGGAUGGACUCGCGGCUUAUCAGCUUGUUGGUGGGGUAGUGGCUUACCAAGGCUUUGACGGGUAGCCGGCCUGAGAGGGCGACCGGCCACAGUGGGACUGAGAUACGGCCCAGACGCCUACGGGAGGCAGCAGUGGGGAAUAUUGCACAAUGGGCGGAAGCCUGAUGCAGAAACGCCGCGUGCGGGAUGACGGCCUUCGGGUUGUAAACCGCUUUCAGCAGGGGCGAAGCUUGUGGUGACGGUACCUGCAGAAGAAGCACCGGCUAACUACGUG